GUGGGGAAUAUUGCACAAUGGGGGAAACCCUGAUGCAGCAACGCCGCGUGAGUGAAGAAGUAUUUCGGUAUGUAAAGCUCUAUCAGCAGGAAAGAAAAUGACGGUACCUGACUAAGAAGCCCCGGCUAACUACGUGCCAGCAGCCGCGGUAAUACGUAGGGGGCAAGCGUUAUCCGGAUUUACUGGGUGUAAAGGGAGCGUAGACGGUUUUGCAAGUCUGAAGUGAAAGCCCGGGGCUUAACCCCGGGACUGCUUUGGAAACUGUAGGACUAGAGUGCAGGAGAGGUAAGUGGAAUUCCUAGUGUAGCGGUGAAAUGCGUAGAUAUUAGGAGGAACACCAGUGGCGAAGGCGGCUUACUGGACUGUAACUGACGUUGAGGCUCGAAAGCGUGGGGAGCAAACAGGAUUAGAUACCCCAGUAGUCC
This 425-nucleotide ribosomal RNA is filed under the name uncultured bacterium. Its description in RNAcentral is "bacterial SSU rRNA". It matches the Rfam family "Bacterial small subunit ribosomal RNA", at positions 354 to 796 of the family's 1533-position model. The record is from RNAcentral.